GCCCUCGUAGCUCAAUUGGACAGAGCGUUUGCUUGCGGAGCAAAAGGUUACAGAUUCGAGUUCUGUCGGGGGCACCA
This 77-nucleotide transfer RNA is filed under the name Chloroflexota bacterium. RNAcentral's name for it is "Chloroflexi bacterium (anaerobic digester metagenome) tRNA-Arg". It matches the Rfam family "tRNA". Rfam says of the family: Transfer RNA (tRNA) molecules are approximately 80 nucleotides in length. Their secondary structure includes four short double-helical elements and three loops (D, anti-codon, and T loops). RNAcentral also lists the same sequence under 1 other name. The record is from RNAcentral. Lineage: Bacteria; Bacillati; Chloroflexota.